Molecule: ribosomal RNA, 445 nt
Filed under: uncultured bacterium
Lineage: Bacteria
Description: bacterial SSU rRNA
Rfam family: Bacterial small subunit ribosomal RNA
Source: RNAcentral
GUAGGGAAUAUUGGGCAAUGGAGGCAACUCUGACCCAGCCAUGCCGCGUGCAGGAUGACGGCCCUCUGGGUUGUAAACUGCUUUUAUACAGGAAGAAAAAAUACUACGUGUAGUAUACUGACGGUACCGUAAGAAUAAGGAUCGGCUAACUCCGUGCCAGCAGCCGCGGUAAUACGGAGGAUCCACGCGUUGUCCGGCUUUAUUGGGUUUAAAGGGUGCGUAGGCGGAACUUUAAGUCAGUGGUGAAAGCCUGCGACUUAACGGUAGGAUUGCCAUUGAAACUGAAGAUAUUGAAUGUGGUUAAAGUAGGCGGAAUGUAUCAUGUAGCGGUGAAAUGCUUAGAUAUGAUACAGAACACCGAUAGCGAAGGCAGCUUGCUUAACCAUUAUUGACGCUGAGGCACGAAAGCGUGGGGGGCGAACAGGAUUAGAAACCCUAGUAGUCC